Molecule: long non-coding RNA, 1591 nt
Filed under: Equus caballus (horse)
Lineage: Eukaryota; Metazoa; Chordata; Mammalia; Perissodactyla; Equidae
Description: lncRNA (ENSECAG00000030677.3)
Source: RNAcentral
CCCAGGGGCAGUGACAGCAGCUGGAACAGUUUCCUGGAACGGAUCAUUUGAACGGGCCUUGGAGCAUGGGUGAGGCCAGCAGCAAAUGAGACCAACAGUGCUGGGAGCGGGUGCAGAGAGAAGGGACAAGAGCAAGUUGUGUAAUUCUGGAAACGCCACUUCAUCUGGAACAAUGCCACAUUCCACGACAUCGGAGACGACGUCUGUCUGUCUGCCGCAGCGUGGCCAGCUCUCGGAAUGUGGCUGGUACACCGUAGGGGCUCAGUAAAUACUUGUCGGGUGGAAUACAUAGCGUCGCAGGAGGCGUUCCGAGGACAACCCUCACCUCAGAGGCCUCACCCUUUAUAACUCAAAGCACUUUGAAAUGACUCCAACUCCAGAAUAUUUUAGAAAGUGUUUGUGAGGAUGAAUUGCUGUAUGUGCAGAUUAUAGACUAGAACUAUGCGUGUGAAAGAAUACAAAAUAUCUGUCUGAACGCAUAUAAAUAUAUACAAUAAUUAUUUAAUGCUCUACUCUGUAAACCCCCUAGGACCACAGUGAAGAGAACAUUAGCUGGAAGUGUGACGCCUGAGCUGAUGGCUGUGACAGUGCCCAGAGAAAGCGAUCUGUGAGGCGAGACAGAACCGGCUGUGAAGACAGGACCUGGGCUGCAGGGAAAAUAGGGGGCCCCACAGUGCCUGAGCUGGAUCCAACCCGACAGAGGGACUGACCGCCGGCCCCAGUCGCCGUGCUCCUGGAGUCGCCUUCUGUCUUCCGUCCACCCUGCGGUGUGGAGCCCCUCCCCACACUGUCCCCUGUGGGUUCUGGCUCUGGGGGGCGAGUGCCCCUGGCAGAGAGCUGCUGCCCCCCAGGCUGUGCACGGAGGGCCCUUUGGCCACCCCGAGGAAACCGGCAGCGCCUCCUCCCUUUUCCUGCCUGUCUCCUUUAUGCCCUUUAGCUCAGAAGGCACGGGAAGGGGAAGGAAAGGGCGAUGCAAGAGACCGGGAGGACCUGGAAGGCUCUGCCUCUGUUUUCAGUAAUUCUUAGCUGGCCUUGGGGAAAUCUGUCUGCAGCAAAGUCCAACCCAACACAGAUAAAGGACCUUUCUGCUGAUGUGUUGGACAAGACCUUUAACCCAGGGUUUUGUGAAGCAGUUGGACUGCCCUGCACAAACUCACAGGAGACGGUUCUUGUCUUGCUCGUCCCCUUUCAGGUGCCCCACGUGCUCCCACAUGCCCACACCCGGCAAACACCAGCUCUCACGUUGCCUGGUCCUAAAGAGUUUGUGUCAUAGAGCGGCAUGCCCUAAAGAGUUUGACCCGAAGGCUGACCUGCCCUGGGAGUUCAGGAAGACUCCAUUCUGGGGACACAGCUGACGAAGUCAUGCUGGCGGGGUAGCCACUUCAGUCUUGGGUCCUCUCCACUGCACCCUACUCCUAGUUGCUGCCUUGGGACCCUCAGGCUGGGAGUUCUGGCCCUCAGCCCUCACCCUCCGAGGGACCCCCACCCCACUGUGGCUUCUGGGCCCUUCCUCAGACUCAGAAGGGCUCCAGGGACAGAGGGGCUGAAGCAUAUUAUAGUUUUGCUACAAAUAAUAAUAACAACAAUAAAU